CCGGGUCACUCACACACUCAAAACACCAACACUCACUCAAGCUCCGAUUUCUCUGUCCGAAAUUCACCCACUCAGCCCUGUUUUCGAUCAUCCCCAUCUGAUACAUAUCUGAUCUCUUCCUCUUCAUUUCCCUCUCGAUCUUCAGUCUCCGUCCUACACCUUAAAUAUUUGAUGAUGUCCGUACGAUGUCUUUGGCGGUGGCCCUAUAUUCUAUGUCACCCACGGGUACGCCAUGGACAUGCCGCCGUUUGAAUCCGACGACGGAAUUGGGCAAAAGUGAUCGAGAAGAAGGAAGUGGAAGAAAGCUGAGACUAGCUCAAGCUGUGCAGGUGACCUACUAUGGUUUCAGAAUCGGACGACGACGAUGACAGGUUCUGUUCCGUUGAAGCUUAAUUAUGAGGGAAUCUUAAAUGCUUGGUCUGAUAAAGGUCUGGCUUUGCUAUUCAAUGUUCCAAGGGACAAGAAUAUAAAUGCUGAAGCUAUGAUGUUUUUAAAUAUUCCAAAGGGGGUAUGAAGUGUGCUCUUCAGGACAUUAAACAUUGACAGGUAAACUGAGAAUAACUGUGCUCAUCAGCAUGAUAUUGCAGUAAACUAAAUAUACAAUGAUAGUUAGGUCUUUUAUUGAUGCACAUCGGCCACAAUCAUUUCUCGUGUUUUUGUCAGUGAAUCUAGCUGUAUUGUAGUUUUCUUAUGUUUGAUUUUUUGGAAUUUCAAGCUGUUGUCUAUCACUAUCACUGGGGUUUGUUUCAUUUUCAUUUAAGAUGGUGAUAACAGCAGGCAAAAUUUUCCUGUGCCUUACUAUAUAGGUUGUGCAGAAAAAAAAAAAAUAUUUAAAAAAUACCCGUUUUGUCUUUUAAGUCUUCUUAUUAUUUUCUCUGGAAUUAGGACAACUAACAAAUGACAAUUUCUCUUAAAAUUUACUUAGGUUUAUUUCUUGUCAUAAGUGACCUUGUAUAGCUUUCAUGACAUGAACAUAUGUAAAAGUUUGUUUAGGGGUAAUGAAUCUGUCAUAUUAUUAUUCUACUA
This is a long non-coding RNA of Ziziphus jujuba (common jujube), 1026 nucleotides long. RefSeq lists it as uncharacterized. The record is from RefSeq and is a predicted model, not a curated record. The transcript is spliced from 3 exons. NCBI's taxonomy places the organism in Eukaryota, Viridiplantae, Streptophyta, Magnoliopsida, Rosales, Rhamnaceae.